GAUGAACGCUCGCUACAGGCUUAACACAUGCAAGUCGAGGGACCGGCGCCCGAGUGAGUAACACGUAUACAACCUGCCCUUUACUCGGGGCUAGCCUUUCGAAAGAAAGAUUAAUACCCGAUAUAAAGACUGGGGAUGCGUUCCCUUAGGUUGUUUGUGAGUUACCGGCUCCACAAGCCUUCGAUGGAUAGGGGUUCUGAGAGGAAGGUCCCCCACAUUGGAACUGAGACACGGGCCACACUCCUACGGGAGGCAGCAGUGAUGAAUAUUGGUCAAUGGGCGCUAGCCUGAACCAGCCAAGUAGCGUGAAGGAUGAAGGCUUAUGGGUCGUAAACUUCUUUUAUAUAAGAAUAUGUAUUAUAUGAAUAAGGAUCUGCUAACUCCGUGCCAGCCGCCGCGGUAAUUC
This 406-nucleotide ribosomal RNA is filed under the name uncultured bacterium. RNAcentral describes it as "partial 16S ribosomal RNA". It matches the Rfam family "Bacterial small subunit ribosomal RNA", at positions 28 to 526 of the family's 1533-position model. The record is from RNAcentral.